UGUUGUGGUAGUUUCUUUCUGGCACAUUUAAGUUUUCAGAUGGGUCUGACUUUACCACAUACAUUGUUAGGAGCGAACAAAAGCUUAAAGACUGAAAUAUCUCUCCUGAGUUUUUUUUGUAACAGAUGUUGGCUCUCACAAUC
Small nucleolar RNA from Cavia aperea (Brazilian guinea pig), 143 nucleotides. NCBI's taxonomy places the organism in Eukaryota, Metazoa, Chordata, Mammalia, Rodentia, Caviidae. The record is from Ensembl.